AGGGCUUGGAUAAAUUUACAGCAUCCCAAGAACAGCAAAGAUGUGGUGACUCUCAUAGAAGAUGUGAUUGAAAUACUCAAAGACAAAGAUACACCCUUAGAGAACUGUGUCCUUCAAAAUGGGAGCACAAGGGAGAACAUGGAAGCUGACUCACUAACAGGGAAGCCUCAGGUGAAGUAGGGUUCCACUCUUUGCUAGAAAUAUAUGCU
Molecule: long non-coding RNA, 209 nt
Filed under: Ictidomys tridecemlineatus (thirteen-lined ground squirrel)
Lineage: Eukaryota; Metazoa; Chordata; Mammalia; Rodentia; Sciuridae
Description: lncRNA (ENSSTOG00000020843.2)
Source: RNAcentral